ACGUCCAAGCUUUAUUUCUUUCUCUUAUAUAUGUCCAAGAGUUGGACAUUAGAAUAUAUACACACCCAAGAGUUGGGCACACCCAGGAAAGGAAAAGAAAAAGAGGAGGAACUAGAUUUUUUUGAGAAGAAAAUUAAGAAAGGUUGUGUGCAGAUUUCUUUGAGAAAGAAAUUAAGAAAAGGGGAGGAUUUUUAUGAGAAGAAAAUCAAGAUGGCUAAGA
This 220-nucleotide long non-coding RNA is filed under the name Elaeis guineensis (African oil palm). RNAcentral describes it as "long non-coding RNA (EGUI_LNC021708)". Lineage: Eukaryota; Viridiplantae; Streptophyta; Magnoliopsida; Arecales; Arecaceae. The record is from RNAcentral.